UACGGAACUCUUUAUUGUAAAAGUAUAUUUUUUCCACACAACCAACCAGUAAGUUUUUGGUGAGGUGAUACUUUGAUACCAUGAGAAUUCUAGUAGGGAUGUAGCUCAACCUUUUAUCUAAUAGUUUUGGUAUCAGAAUGUCUUUAAUACUGUUUUACAUUAACCUUUCAACUUUUUAACAUUUUAAAUUUAAAAAUAUUCCAAGACAUUUGCUUUCCACAAACCAUAAAAUUUUACAAAAGUAAGAUUCACUUUUAUAAUAAUGGCAUAUUUACUCAUUAAUUGGAACGUGAGCACUCUCCCUCUUUUUAAUUUUGCUUGAGCCCUGUAUAAUAGCCAGUAUGAUAGCCACUUAAUGUACCAAGAGAUUAGCAUACUUCAUAAAACAUUAACAUCAUCAAGAAAAUCUAGACCUGUGGGAGGUGGUGGGGGAAUUUUUGGUGGUCCAGAAGGAAAUGGAGGCAGCAAGCAUGAGGGGAAGCAGGGUGGUGUGGGUGGUGGGCUACUGAAUUUGAGACCUGACCUGGCUUUCGUGGUCUCAGAAUUCCAUGGAGUAGCUUCUGACCUGAUGCUAAAUGGUUUGUUUCCAGGACCUGGAGUUCUCACUUUCAUCCAUUGAAUCUUGACUUUCAUUUUCAUUCUUUUGAGCAUUCUGUCCUAUAUUAUUAGCUACAGAGGUUGAAGAAAGUAGAUCAGACAGAUUUGCUCCUCUCUAUUUCCAUAUCCAGUGUAAAUCACAACACAGCUUUCUCUCUUCAUAUCAACUGAAGCAAUGGUAGCAGAGUAAAUGCAGCUGUCUUCUGACCAAAUGGCAGGACAUUUGUCCCCAACUUUCCACUACUUCAAGAAAGUUACAGUAUUCUUUUUUUGGCCUUUAUGCUUCUUAGCAGGUUUUCUAUUAGGCAUGCUUUUUGGUUUAUCUGAGGUUUCACAAAUGUCAUCAUUCUUUAGAGCCUGUUUAAAUGAAGCCACAGCUUUAUCAUCCACUUCUAUCAGUGCUGUAGCAUCCCAAAUGUCAGAAACGUCACUCUGGCCUAUGCUGCACUAGAAAUGCACCAAAUCUUCCUGCUCCAGGAUGCCACAGCCACUGCUGGCACUGCCCAUUGCCAUCGUAAGCCUACUGCCAGUUUUACCUUUCAAUGAAUGCAUUAUUUCCUAAAUACUAAGCACAGUCAAAAAUUGUUUCCCUGAGAUGAUAUAGCCUUCUCCUUUGGUGGCAUAUAUUAACUUUGUUAGUCUCAAUAUGACUAACAGUUUGGAUUUUCAAGUUCAAGAAUGUUUGUGCAGAGUCAUCUGAGUCCUCCCUACAGGUGGUUUUUUUCAGCACAUUUUACUUAGUCAAAUCAUCAAACUAUUGAUCAUGUCCCCACACCUAACCAAUUUAUAAAACUCAAAGCCAUCUGCGUGGCACGGACUCUCCGUAGUCUUGAUUGCAGAGUUGAUUUAUGACCUAAAGAAAGAGAGAUUUUAGCUUAGCUUUUGGAUAUAUUCCCUUCUGUUGAUCAAAGAUGAUGGUGGUUUUCAGUAAGUUGACUGAGCAGGAAUAGAACUUUUUAAGUCAUCUCAGUUUUAUAGGAUUCAAGGCAUUUCUUUUCCAAGGCUGAUUAUUAAUUUUGCAUUGAAAUCCCUCAUAACAAUAAGCCUGUUGCAUAGAAACAAAUUUUUGAUGAAUCAUCAAAUCAUCAAAUAUUUUCUCUUUCUUCAAAAUGAAGGGCAUCCAUGCUAAGUUACUUCUGAUUUAAAGAUAUUUUAAAAGGAUCAUCAAACAUCUCCACUUGAUGGCUAUACUUUGUAAGAAAGACAUUUUCUCUGAUAAAGUGUAAUUGCUACCUUCUUCUCUGAGCAUUUCUUUAUGAAAAGGUGGUUGGUUUCACUCCUUGAGUGAUCCCUAAGUUGAUUUAACUCUGGGUCAGUUUGUCAAUUUUAGUUGGUAACAAAUGGGGAGGAAGGCAGAUUUCCUGAAGGGCAUAAAAAUAAGAUAUUCAUUUUAAAAUCCCCUCCUCUUUCUCUUUGAACUGAUUUGGUACACCAGGAAGGUGAGUAGAACUGAUAUAUAGCAUGGAAACCUGAAUAAUUUUCACAAACCAUGUGGAAGCCUUUCUUUUGUCUUAAUGGAGGAAUUUUGAGGAUGAACCCAAUUGGAAGGUGUAGGCAAAUUCAUAAUUCCUUGGAAUUUUCUUGCUUGUCUGAUGGCAAACUUAGGAUGAAAUGUAAUCCUUCAUUGUGACAAACAUGCCUACUGUUUGGCAGAUUUGCUUUUUCAUCCUUCUAUGUGGCUUUUAAUUUUGUAUGCUACUAACCUUCCUGAAUGUAGGUCCUUUACACUGCCUAUUAUUUCAAUAGCAUGGUAUAAAUUACAGUUAAGCCAAUAAAUAAUUGUUUCUCCUUCUG
This 2391-nucleotide long non-coding RNA is filed under the name Homo sapiens (human). RNAcentral describes it as "non-protein coding lnc-MLLT3-2:1". Lineage: Eukaryota; Metazoa; Chordata; Mammalia; Primates; Hominidae. The record is from RNAcentral.